RNAcentral lists this unclassified non-coding RNA (323 nucleotides) under uncultured fungus. Its description in RNAcentral is "partial contains small subunit ribosomal RNA, internal transcribed spacer 1, and 5.8S ribosomal RNA". The stretch from base 1 to 73 matches the Rfam family "Eukaryotic small subunit ribosomal RNA", at positions 1759 to 1831 of the family's 1831-position model. The record is from RNAcentral. Lineage: Eukaryota; Fungi.
GCAAACUUGGUCAUUUAGAGGAAGUAAAAGUCGUAACAAGGUUUCCGUAGGUGAACCUGCGGAAGGAUCAUUAACGAGCCAUUGGAGCAUGCAUUGUGCUUCGAUGUGGCCCAUCCUUGUUGAUUGUACCUGUUGCUUUGGUCGUGCGUCGGCCUGGUGAUUUACAGACAACACCGGGUCGGCCAUGACCAGAGGGCAUCGCUGUGUGCGGUGCAGUACUUUAACCCGUCAGUAAAGUGUUGUGGUCUGAAAUUGUCGAGAGAUAAUGAAUUAAAACUUUCAACAACGGAUCUCUUGGUUCCGGCAUCGAUGAAGAACGCAGC